UGGGGGAUAUUGCACAAUGGGCGAAAGCCUGAUGCAGCGACGCCGCGUGGGGGAUGGAGGCUUUCGGGUUGUAAACCUCUUUCGCUAUCGAACAAGGCCCGCUUAGGGUGGGUUGAGGGUAGGUGGAGAAGAAGCGCCGGCUAACUACGUGCCAGCAGCCGCGGUAAUACGUAGGGCGCGAGCGUUGUCCGGAAUUAUUGGGCGUAAAGGGCUUGUAGGCGGCUUGUUGCGCCUGCUGUGAAAACGCGGGGCUUAACUUCGCGCGUGCAGUGGGUACGGGCAGGCUUGAGUGUGGUAGGGGUGACUGGAAUUCCAGGUGUAGCUGUGGAAUGCGCAGAUAUCUGGAGGAACACCGAUGGCGAAGGCAGGUCACUGGGCCAUUACUGACGCUGAGGAGCGAAAGCAUGGGUAGCGAACAGG
This 420-nucleotide ribosomal RNA is filed under the name bacterium. Its description in RNAcentral is "partial 16S ribosomal RNA". It matches the Rfam family "Bacterial small subunit ribosomal RNA", at positions 355 to 776 of the family's 1533-position model. The record is from RNAcentral.